RNA transcript from Anguilla rostrata (American eel), 3648 nucleotides. It is a transcript of the gene named 5'-AMP-activated protein kinase subunit gamma-2-like, with no coding region annotated. Lineage: Eukaryota; Metazoa; Chordata; Actinopteri; Anguilliformes; Anguillidae. The transcript has 16 exons. The record is from RefSeq and is a predicted model, not a curated record.
ACCUUAGAUCUGCCCCUAAACACUCCCUGAAUAACUACGAGCGCAGAACAUGCUGCUGGAACGCUUUCCUAACCUAACACGAACGCGCACAUUCCCUUCCGCAGUGAAUUUGUUAAACCUGCUUGUUGACCUCUGCGAGGAUUUACAUCGCUCUGAUCGCGUUUUCUUUUGAUACUUCCGUAUGUAAGGAGUUCAGCGACUUUGUUUGUCGUUGUGCUGUACUGGCUUGUAGUAUCAGAGAGUGCGAGAAAUGGUGUAGUAUCCACUUAACUUCGCCUACAGUUAAGGUGGAGGUGCACUACACCGGACUGGGUAAUCUCACUCGAUUCUGCGGACGUAAAUUACUUGCGAACAACACAUACUCAGGACCAGAAGAAUGUGGCAGUUAUAGGUGCUUGUUUAAAACUCAACACACCGUCAACGCGUCAUCCCGUGUUCCAGGGUUUGUGUGAAUUAUAAAUUCUAUUCAGAAAGGCAUCGCCUGUGCGUUUAUAGGGAAACGCAGAUCCUCUAAGCACAACAUGGGCAGCACAGUGAUGGACACUAAAAGGAAGGAUGUUCCGAAGAAGAACUCUAAGAAGAAAAGAACGCUUCGGUUAAACAUGCCAGACCUGAGCUCCUUCGCCUUGCCCCUGCUGGAUGGAGAGGGGGAGCGAGCUGACAAAGACUGCACACGCAAGAGGGAAGAAAGCUGCUACUCAGCCAGCCCCACCAGAGGCUUCUUCAUGAGGGGUCCGGGUGGGCGGCCCCCCAGCCCUCGCUCCGCCCCCGUCAGGCCCAAAUCCAUCCCCAGCUCCUCCCCCAAAACCAUCUUCCCCUACCCCACCCAGCAGGAGUCCUCUCCCAAGUCCCCCCACCGCAUGAGCUUCAGCGGGAUCUUCCGCACCUCCUCCAAGGACUCCACCUCCUCCAGCACCCCCUCCUCCUCCCCCUCCCCCAUUGGCAUCAAACUGUUCUCUCGCACCAGGAAAGCUUCAGGGCUUUCCACUCCGCCCACGACUCCCACCCAGACGACCAAACAUCCCCCUUUCCCCCCGGACACCCCCAGAAAUGAGCCAGAGGGCCAAGAGGUGCGUGCGCGCACCUCAUCCCUGCUCCUGGACACCGGACAGCGGCUGGGACUCCCCUCCGCCAAGCCGCCCAUCCCCUCCGCCGCCCCCACGUCUACCUCACGACCCAUAGCUGCCAUCUCGAAAGCACAGGUCUACGGUUUAGCUGAAGGCAUGCUUGAGAAACUUGAACUAGACACCGAAGCUGCUGAAGAACCUGAGAGUGAUAUAUAUAUGCGGUUCAUGAAGUCCCACAAGUGCUACGACAUUGUCCCAACCAGCUCCAAGCUAGUCGUCUUUGACACUGCAUUGCAAGUUAAGAAGGCCUUCUUUGCCCUGGUGGCCAAUGGGGUCCGAGCAGCUCCUCUUUGGGAGACAAAAAAGCAGAGCUUUGUCGGAAUGUUAACCAUCACAGACUUUAUCAUCAUACUGCAACGAUACUACAAAUCACCUCUGGUGCAAAUAUAUGAGUUGGAAGAACACAAGAUUGAAACGUGGAGAGAUCUCUACCUUCAAGAAACAUUUAAGCCAUUAGUAAACAUAUCACCUGAUGCAAGUGUUUUCGACGCGGUGUACUCGCUGAUCAAGAACAGGAUUCACCGGCUGCCCGUCAUCGACCCGGUCACCGGAAACGCACUUUACAUCCUCACGCACAAGAGGAUCCUCAAGUUCCUCCAGCUCUUCGUGUGUGAGAUGCCAAAGCCGGCCUUCAUGAAGCAGACCCUGGAGGAGCUGGGGAUCGGAACCUACAGCGACAUCGCCUUCAUCCACCCCGACACGCCCAUCAUCAAAGCGCUCAACAUCUUCGUGGAGAGGAGGGUGUCCGCCCUGCCCGUCGUGGACGAGUCAGGGAAAGUUGUUGAUAUUUAUUCCAAAUUUGAUGUCAUAAACCUGGCGGCGGAAAAAACGUACAACAACCUGGACAUCACGGUGACCCAGGCGCUGAAACACCGCUCGCAGUACUUCGAGGGAGUCAUGAAGUGCAACAGGCUGGAGACGCUGGAGACCAUCGUGGACAGGAUAGUGAAAGCAGAGGUCCAUCGGCUGGUGGUGGUGGACGAGAGCGGCAGCAUCGAGGGCAUCAUCUCUCUGUCGGACAUCCUGCAGGCGCUGGUGCUCAGCCCGGCAGGUAUAGACGCGCAACAUUCCUAACCCCACCCCCCCUUUCCCGGGAACCUGACCUCUGACCCCCGCCCCCAGGUCCGCAGGUUUCGGCAGAAAGGACAGCGAGACAGAGUGACGCUGCUGAGGGGGUCUUUAAGGCGCACAGUGAGCUGGGCUGCACUGGUACCCCACUAGGCCCCUGUCCCAAAUCGUCCAACCCGGGAGAUGAAGAGUUGGGCUUCACUGGACUAAUGGCCAGUGAGGGGGGGGGGGGGGUGCAGGGACAGGGGCAGGGGCAGGGGGAGGGGCUGAGUGCUUUUCCUUUCACUGUGGGAGGGAGGCAGUUAUCAUGGCCAUGCCCCUUUGAGAUAGUGAUGUCACGUCCUGGACUUGAUUGGACUCUGAAUAUAAACAGAUGUGGACUGGGCCUUUGGUUAUUUUUAAAAAUGUUUUUAAAUGUUUAUUUAUUUAUACUUCAGCGUUUACUCCUACAUGCAAGCGACUGGACACUCACGUUUUUUUGCGUUCUCCACUGAUGGCUCCUUAUUUAACUUUUUUUUCUUUUUCUUUUUUUUAAAUUUUUUUUUAAAGUGAGUCUCAAGGUGGUAAUAAUGUACUCAUGGGCCAUGCACCAAAACCCCACAAUCCUGUGCAAGGUUCCUGUGGGGGCCAAAUCCUUCUUGCUUGAUUUUUGCGCUACAAACGCCAAACUCUUACCCUCCUGGUGUCAUCAGUGCCAUGUGUGCACUGGUGACGUGAAGGAGGCUGUUUACCCACAUUAAAUCACACACACAGGUCUUUAAAUACCAAAGUAACAGCAGCAAACUGUGUGCUGUCACUGAGCGAAAUCAUAUUGUUUCAAAUUAAAAUUUUAUUUUUAUUUAUUUUUUAGGAAAGGAGUCCAAGUUGUGUCUUGAAAACUGCUGUGACGAAAGAUUGUUUAAAGCUUUAUUUUUUUGAUAGAAAUUUCUGAAAUAUAUAUAUUUUUUUUUUUUUUUGGGGGGGGGAGUGGGUGAAAUGAGUGCAUAGGACAGCAGGACCCCCCGCCUCAUGCAUGAAAGUGGUAGCGAGUUCCUGUUUAUGUUCAUAACAAUGCAAAAAGAAGAGAGAGAGAGAGAGAGAGGGCGCUUUCCAAACACACACAAACUGUCCAUCCGUGGACACUGCAUGCCUGACUCUUAUUCUCUGCGUAUCGUACUGUAUAUAAGAACUAAGCUUCAUACUGAGAAGACUUCAAGUGCCAGAGAAAGCUUUAUUUUUCUGCAGAUUGUAAUGUAAAAAGAUCAUGCUGUUUGUAUGACUGCUAAUGUAAUUUUAAAAAUAUACUUUCAGUUGUGGUAUGUAUUGUUCAUCUGGUUUCACGGACGGGAACGUUGUAUCCAAUAUUAAGUGUGCGUUAAUAGCAUGCGGAUUACACUAUAUUGACAAUACAUGCUGUUUGUUUUUUUAUUUGCUGAUUUGAGGAGUGGAAUAAACAGUGCUACUGAAUCUUUUA